Molecule: long non-coding RNA, 3698 nt
Filed under: Mus caroli (Ryukyu mouse)
Lineage: Eukaryota; Metazoa; Chordata; Mammalia; Rodentia; Muridae
Description: predicted gene, 37814 (MGP_CAROLIEiJ_G0034482.1)
Source: RNAcentral
GUGGAGUUUAAAACGUGAGAGAGUGAUACAGGGGUUCUUGGAGCUAAAAACAUUCUAUAACAACAGUGUUGAUGGAAGCUAUUAAGCUCUUAUCUUACAGGCCACAGGAUAGAGAAACAGAAAAUACAGAGCUGGAGGCCAUAUGCUUAAAGGCUGAAAUGCAGCUGAAGGUUAAAAGAUAACAAGGACACAGAAUGACCUGAACUAAGAGCCGACUGUGCAGGAUAGAUGUGCGGAUGAGAGCUGGUUACUCAGAGAACGUUCCUGAAAGAGAGUUGAUACACAUUUGAAGGAGACCUAAUAUUUACUGAGUGCUUAUGAAGUAAUGGACUUUGGGCCCUUUGCCUGCUUUUCCUCAUGGAUUGAAAGGUAGAUUCUUGAUAAGAUAACGCACAUGGGAAAGAAUUAUUGGUAUCAUAGAAGCUGGUUGUAUAGUGCAUUUGCCAGGAGUGUGGAAAUCAAAAUGAAGAUGCCAGAUGACUCCAAAAGGCCAAAUAAGGACUUCAGGUGUAAGGAGGAACCACAAACCAUUUUUUUUUUUUUUGGUACAGAAUUCUUUGUCCCCAACCAUGGGGCUUAAGAGAAAGAUGUCCUAUAUUGAGGAAAGCAAUGUGAUUACUAAACACAUUCAAGCAUUAUGCUACAGACUAUAGUCUAGAGGAGGCAAAACCAAGGUUGCAUACCAAGGUUCCAGCUUCCAGGGCAAGCUGGAAGAAUGAUUGCCAUGGAGAAGAGCUUUGGCAUAAUGUAAGGACAGAUCUUGUUAUGGAAAGAAAGUAGGAUUUGAGUAUUAAACUUGAAAAGACUGUAAGGCAGAGAUCUUUGCUACAGAAAAUGAGCAAGCUGAGAAGUGCCCAGUGGGAGCUACUCGGAUGUAUCUAUUUGGGUUUCUGGUUUUGAAGGGCUACAGUCCACCAGUCCACCAUGGCAGAGAACUCAUGGUGAUAGGACCAUGAGGCAUCUGGUCACACUGCAUCUGUAGUUAGGAAGCAGAGAGUGAGCAGAAAGUACCCCAGACCAUCAAACUUCAAGACUCACUCCCAGUGGCCCACCUUUUCCACCAAGGGUAUAUCUCUUGACAGUUCUAGAAUCUUCCAAAACAGCUAAGGACGAACUUCAAAUACAUGAACCUCUGGGGGACAUUUUACAUUCAAAGCAUGACAACACAGCCUACUUCCCCCAACACACAUGAUUUCUUCUCACCUAAUGGACCAUGAGAUAAAGCAAAGUCAGACAGCCCACAAGUACUAACUUCCAAAUGACUUCAGUAUUCCUUGAGUUUGUUCUCUGUAAUGGUGUAUGAGCUUUCUGUUACAUGAAGCCAGGGUUUCCAGCUCCUUUCUUAUGUAAGAAGAGAAGUCUAUUAGCUAUAGCACAAACUAAAUGUCCAUGGAGAUAGUUUCCCAAACCAUUCCACUAUAAUAACUAUUCCUUUAUUUUAUGCACAGCAGACACGAUGCUGAGGGAGACGACACAAAGUUUUAGCCUUCUGCAAUCUUAGAAAAACCAUCAAACUCUCUGAGACUUGAUUUCUCUGUAAAACGAGUGACUAGAUUAGGUAACAUACAAUUCAGCUCUAAUAUCCUACGGAGUUUAUAUCAUGUAGUUAGUCUUAAUGAUGCCUUUAAGGAACAGUGUUGCUGCUUUUAUGAGUGUAGGCUACUUCUUGUUAUGAAUAAGCAUAUUCUUGAAAUGUCAGCUUGUGUCCAGGGCCAUCAGACGCUGCAGUCUCUUUUGAUAAAUCUCUAAUGAAAACCCCAAAACUCCUGGGGCUCAAAUAAACCAAUGAAUUCUUAAAUUAUGCUCUCUUCUAUCAUGACAUUACAAAUAGAGUUUAGAGGAAGACUGUUCAGUUCACAGGAGUUAGGUCAUAGGAGUUAGACUGACUAUAAGUGUGGUCCUGAGACUAUAGCAUCUCCUUUACAACACUGCUUCAAGCCUACCCUACCAGUCUUCAUUGUUCCACUCACCCCAGACCUGGAUAGCUGGCCCACUGCUCUUCAUGCUGCCUUUGACACAAAUGGCUCUGCUUCGCCUGCCACCUGCACUCUUGCCAAGCCAUUUUCUAUGGGAGGCACUAACUCUGCCUCUUCCCCACUGUCAUCAGCACUCUAUCCUGCUCUCUGCAGAACCUGGUCACUGUUUCCCCUGCUGAAUCCUGCCCAUAGAUUCAAAUGCUCCUGAUUCCACAUCCCUACAGGCUAGGUAGGUACCAGCCCUCUCUACUCUGGCCAUUAUGACUCUAUAGAAUUGUCAUAGAUACCCAUCUCCAAUGUGGCUCCUGAUAUAAGAAUUGUUCUGCCAUGGAUGCCAACUGAUUAUCACUCUGUUCACCUUAGCACUAUCUUGUAGAGAGCCUCACUGAUAGACACUAAGCCAUGAUUGUCACCUGUAACAGUAACAUCUAUCCCUGAAGUUCUUACCAAUGAAAUCAAUUCUCUCUUCCAAAUAUUGUACCUAUUUCUCCAACAGGAAAUAUUUUUGCCUUUUUAAUGAUCUGCCUCUAUUCUUCAAUGGAGUUAGAGAAAUGCAGAGAGGUUAAUGUGCAUUAGAAAACAUGCAUUGUGUGACAGAAUUUGCCAGGGUUCCUGGGCCCUGCCCUUGCUGCAAUAUUCUGAUCGUCUUCAUUCUUUUGUUUCUGUUUCCCGAAACAGAUCUCAGAGUAUAACUGGGCUUGUCUCCAACUCACAGUGGUUGUUCUAUUGGUGUCUCUUGAGUGUUGUCUCCUAUACAAGUACCAUCACCCAAUUCAGAGGAAUAAUUGUAUGUGUGUGUGUGUGUGUGUGUGUGUGUGUGUGUGUGUGUGUGUGCGCGCCGCAUGUGUGCGUCCUUGUACAUGUGAAAGCCCAAGGUUGACAUACCAAGUGUUCCUCAACUACUCUGCACCUUAUGCAUUGAGGCUCGGUCUCUUAAUUGAACCCAGAGCUCACUAUGUAGGCUACUCUAGCUAGGAGUUUCCUUUAUUCUAGCUAGGAGUUUCUGGGAGCCUUUCCCUUGGCCUUCUGAGUGCUUGAAUUAUAGGUGGGCAGCUAGGCCUUCCUGGCUUUUAUCUGGGUUCUGUUAGUCCAAACUCUAGUACUCAUGGAUGCACAGCAAACACUUUAUCCAUUGAGCGGGAAUUCUUGGUCCCUAAAACCUGCUUUCUAUGUAGAGAUUUAUCGCCUCAUCUGUCUCUGUGGAAAGACAAGGACUCAGGAAAAGAAUGAAAGGCAUCUGUUGCUAAUCCUUUCUCUUGGGUUUCUCUGGAGAAAACGUCUUAGGCAAAUGGUCUUCCUGGAUUCUUGGAAUAAGCAUGUAAAAUAGACUCCCACAAAGGCAGUGCACACACCAUAUUAUGCACACAAUAGGAAAGCAGGAUGCACUGCCAAUUCUCAGCUAUGCGCUUAGGCAACACCUGUCUGCACACAGGGACAAGUAUGAUCAACAUGUAGAAUAGCCUUGGGUUCUAACAAAGAAAUAGCAAAGUCAAGGCCCAAGGGAACCAAAUCCAAUGCAUUCCUUUCUCCUGGGCAUUGUUUUCUGUGAUCCGAAGCUCUCUGGUUGCAUAGCUGUCUAAACACAUUCUGACAUGAAAGGGAAGUACCCUGAGCUCCCAGAGUGGUCAUGUUUGUUUAUGCUCCACCGCUGGCUUGUGCCUACACAGUCACAUCCUGGCAGUCCCUGUCUAAGAUGCUGUUACAGAAAUCCACAUUUCCUUU